UACGUAGGGUGCAAGCGUUGUCCGGAAUUAUUGGGCGUAAAGAGCUCGUAGGCGGUCUGUCGCGUCUGCUGUGAAAACUCAGGGCUUAACCGUGAGCUUGCAGUGGGUACGGGCAGACUAGAGUGCGGUAGGGGAGACUGGAAUUCCUGGUGUAGCGGUGAAAUGCGCAGAUAUCAGGAGGAACACCGGUGGCGAAGGCGGGUCUCUGGGCCGUAACUGACGCUGAGGAGCGAAAGCGUGGGGAGCGAACAGG
RNAcentral lists this ribosomal RNA (253 nucleotides) under uncultured bacterium. RNAcentral's name for it is "partial 16S ribosomal RNA". It matches the Rfam family "Bacterial small subunit ribosomal RNA", at positions 524 to 776 of the family's 1533-position model. The record is from RNAcentral.